GACAAUCGGAGAAUGUUAGACAAUCAGGCAAUUAAAGAAUGUGUUAAUGCAAAAUUAUAUUUUAUAAAUGAAGUACAAUGUGGAAAGGGUUGCUUUUUCUAGAUCGACCAGUUCUGUUCAAAAGCAUCCACUGCCAGAGCUAAAGGAUCUGGUUUCAAACUGUAAAAGAGAAGCAGUUGAGUGUUCAACCUGUCCGCAAAAAGACCUAACGCACAAGGCCACCGAAUACGCAUUAAAGCAAGAAAAAUCUCAUGACAUAGUACCAAUCAUUCGAUCCGUUGAAAUACCAAGACUACCAAUCUGCAAGUACGUUUACCGGACCAGGUAGAUGUUCUGCACUGAGAUGAAUAUUGCGAUUUGACGCCCAUUCCCAUAAGGCCAGAGCCAAGUUGGAAAGAACAAGUAAGCACGUUCACCCUACGCAGUUUCUAAAUGCCGCAGCUGAAGUGUGUCCAUGCGAGGCCUAACAUGGACACAUAAUUGACCCUUUGUGAAGCUCAUCGCCGCAAAGGAAACCACAAAAAGUUGUAAACAAUUUAAGUGAAGCUUUCUUUCCAUUUCAUGAGCCUCCGCUCCUCACACCCUGACAAACUGCUUUCAACCUUGACGCGAAGCAUCUGUUUUGAUCAUUAAAUUCGACGAUGAAUGCAGAAUCAUUAGACCAUUCCAAGCGUCGUGAUGCGCAAUCCAUCAACGUAAUUCUUCCUUGGCAUCGUUGGGAAGAGCUAGAGUCACAUCAUAACCCAAGUGUUGCGCUACAACUCAGUGUUUUAGAUGUUGAAGUGAUGGGUAAUGCAGUGGAGCAGGAAAGAUAGCCUGAAUCGAUGCGGUCAACUUGCCAAAAGGGUGAGGAUUUGGAAGAUAAUGAAAAAAAUAAGAAAAUUAGAAAAAAGUCACUGAAAGUUUCGAAGAUGAAGGCAGAAAUUCGAUUUUUCAAUGGCAGUAAAGUGGAAAAGAUUCCAAUGAUUUAAUUUACUUUACGUAGAAAAAUUUCCAACGCUAGAUUUAUCUACAAAACUAUCCUAACACUACAAUAUAUAAGAGAUGGAAGUUUUAUGAAAAUUUUUUAAUAGCUUAUAAGCAUUAUUAUGCAAAAAUGAAAUUUAAAUAAAUGCGUGUGCGAUAGUUAAUUUAAUUUUAUAUUAUGAGCAACAAACACAUAGAAGAUCUCAAUUUUA
Molecule: long non-coding RNA, 1178 nt
Organism: Xenia sp. Carnegie-2017
Lineage: Eukaryota; Metazoa; Cnidaria; Anthozoa; Malacalcyonacea; Xeniidae
Exons: 2
Source: RefSeq, a predicted model, not a curated record